Molecule: ribosomal RNA, 385 nt
Filed under: Cryptotermes cynocephalus
Lineage: Eukaryota; Metazoa; Arthropoda; Insecta; Blattodea; Kalotermitidae
Description: partial large subunit ribosomal RNA
Source: RNAcentral
CUCUUCUUGUUUGUUUAUUUGAAGUAUGACCUGCCCACUGAUUUUAUUAAAGGGCCGCGGUAUCUUGACCGUGCAAAGGUAGCAUAAUCAUUAGUUCUUUAAUUGUGAGCUGGUAUGAAUGGUUUGACGAGAUACUUACUGUCUUUGGUUUAAGAUUUAUUGAACUUGGUAUUUGGGUAAAAAUACCUAAAUUUUUUUAUGGGACGAGAAGACCCUAUAGAGUUUUAUAUAGUAAAUAUUCUUUUGGUUUGUUGUAUUUUGGGGUAUUUGUUGUAUUUUGUUGGGGUGAUGGGAGGAUAAAUGUAACUCUUCUUUUUUAUUUUCACUUAUUUGUGUUUUUGUGAUCCUUUAUUAUUGAUUAUAAGAUCAAAUUACCUUAGGGAUA